UGGGGAAUAUUGCACAAUGGGCGCAAGCCUGAUGCAGCCAUGCCGCGUGUGUGAAGAAGGCCUUCGGGUUGUAAAGCACCUUCAGCGAGGAGGAAGGUGGUGAGCUUAAUACGCUCAUCAAUUGACGUUACUCGCAGAAGAAGCACCGGCUAACUCCGUGCCAGCAGCCGCGGUAAUACGGAGGGUGCAAGCGUUAAUCGGAAUUACUGGGCGUAAAGCGCACGCAGGCGGUUUGUUAAGUCAGAUGUGAAAUCCCCGGGCUCAACCUGGGAACUGCAUUUGAAACUGGCAAGCUAGAGUCUCGUAGAGGGGGGUAGAAUUCCAGGUGUAGCGGUGAAAUGCGUAGAGAUCUGGAGGAAUACCGGUGGCGAAGGCGGCCCCCCUGGACGAAGACUGACGCUCAGGUGCGAAAGCGUGGGGCAGCAAACAGGAUUAGAUACCCUGGUAGUCCACGCUGUAAACGAUGUCGAUUUGGAGGUUGUGCCCUUGAGGCGUGGCUUCCGGAGCUAACGCGUUAAAUCGACCGCCUGGGGAGUACGGCCGCAAGGUUAAAACUCAAAUGAAUUG
Molecule: ribosomal RNA, 567 nt
Filed under: uncultured bacterium
Lineage: Bacteria
Description: partial 16S ribosomal RNA
Rfam family: Bacterial small subunit ribosomal RNA
Source: RNAcentral